Molecule: ribosomal RNA, 465 nt
Filed under: Janibacter sp. A8
Lineage: Bacteria; Bacillati; Actinomycetota; Actinomycetes; Micrococcales; Intrasporangiaceae
Description: bacterial SSU rRNA
Rfam family: Bacterial small subunit ribosomal RNA
Source: RNAcentral
CUUAUAGUUUGGAUCCCGUUCAGAUUGAACGCGGUCGGCAUGCCUUACACAUGCAAGUCGAACGGCAGCACGUAGCUUGCUCUGGUGGCGAGUGGCGAACGGGUGAGUAAUAUAUCGGAACGUACCCUAGAGUGGGGGAUAACGUAGCGAAAGUUACGCUAAUACCGCAUACGAUCUAAGGACGAAAGUGGGGGAUCUGCAACGACCUCAUGCUCGUGGAGCGGCCGAUAUCUGAUUAGNUAGUUGGUAGGGUAAAAGCCUACCAAGGCAUCGAUCAGUAGCUGGUCUGAGAGGACGACCACCCACACUGGAAGUGAGACACGGUCCAGACUACCUGACGGCGAGGCACGCAGUGUGGGAAUUUUGGACAAUGGGGGGGAACAUGUUCCAGCAGAUGCCGCGCUGAGUGAAGAAGGCCUUCGGGUUGUAAAGCUCUUUUGGAAGGGAAGAACCGGUGAGAGUAUA